This 181-nucleotide non-coding RNA is filed under the name Gammaproteobacteria bacterium. Its description in RNAcentral is "6S RNA". It matches the Rfam family "6S / SsrS RNA". Rfam says of the family: E. coli 6S RNA was the first non coding RNA to be sequenced, but its function was unknown until recently. The record is from RNAcentral. Lineage: Bacteria; Pseudomonadati; Pseudomonadota; Gammaproteobacteria.
UACCAACUGCGGUGUUUGUUAGCACCUUCAUAAUCCUUGAGCCUAUUCAUCAACUUAGGGAUUUUUGAGUCGCCCUGGUGUGCAUGCCCGAGAUUUAUCGGGAAGCCUGAAGGACGCCCGCUUAUCCCACCUGAACCUUCGGUUCAAGGUUGAUAGAACGCGACGGCACCGUGGUUGGUAU